Molecule: long non-coding RNA, 236 nt
Filed under: Mustela putorius furo (domestic ferret)
Lineage: Eukaryota; Metazoa; Chordata; Mammalia; Carnivora; Mustelidae
Description: lncRNA (ENSMPUG00000030789.1)
Source: RNAcentral
GUGACCUUACUUCCUUUCCGCUCUCUAUGUGGUAUUAGGAAACAGUGAAAAGACGGCCAUCUGCAAACCAAGAAGAGGGUUCCUGACCGACACCAGAUCUGCCAGUCCCUGAGUCUUGGACGUGUGAGCCUCCAGAAUUGUGAGAAAUGGAUUUUUGUGAAUGAAAGUGAAAUCAGGUUAACCAGUUGCCACUAAUCCAGGUAAAACCAGAGACGGCUGAGAAGUGAGGAGAAUAG